AAAUAGGUCAAACGAUUUAAUUCCCGUAAUCAACCACACACCCUAUGAUUCUCCACCGUUAAGUUUUGGUGAAACUUUUGAGGCAAUAGCAAAUCUAUUAAUGGAACACAACAUUGGUUCAGAAAAAUGUGUAGGUGAAUUCAAUAUUUCAAUCUAAUUUGCUAUAAAAUACAUGUUCUUCAACAUACUUUUGGUAGUCAUUAAAAAUGAUUGUAAGAAGUAUUUGAUUUUCGAAAUAAAAAUUGCCAAUAACCGAACAACUUGAAAUCCAAUAGUUUUUAUUGAGUUUUUCUCAAAAUGAUAAAAUUAUAUUAGCAUGGUGUCCAUGUAUUGGUUAAUUUAGAUUCUGAGUAGAGCGAGGAAUGUAAUAGAUGUUAAUUAUUUUUAAAUUCUAUGUGCAACGAGUUAUGUUUUGGUUUUACAAUGAGGGUUAUUUUAUGUUAAAUGUGCUGGUUACACAUUCAACUGAACUACGCUCAGUAUCGUUGUGUCGUUAUCAAUUCUUUGUCAUUUCUUAUAGAUACACAUUCCUCUCUGUAUCCUACCUUCCAAACUUCCCAUCUACAACAAUGUCUGCAUCUACGUGCGAAGUAUGUCCGUCCUUUUGAUUAUUAUUAAUACUAUUACUUUUGUUUUUUGUGGCAUUAAAUAAUUUUUUAUCAGAAGUUAUUCUCAUAUGCAAUAACGAUAAAAUACAUUUAUAAUUGAGUAAUUGAAUAAUUUUAUCUUUUUCAAAUAACGUGUAUAAGCGGUUUUCACUCAAAAUCGUUUUUUGUUUAACAAUGUUUUACCGUUUCGAACAGAUAUAAAUUCCUAAAGUUUGUUUCGGAUUCAAAUUGAAAAUUGUAUGUUCGGUUAGGCUUUAGAAAUCAUUGUUUGUAAUAUAAUAGUUAGUAAUGUAGUAUAAUAACAUAUUAGAUGUGAUCAUUAUAGUUAGAGACAUGGGUUAAAACGAAAAGAUACGGUGAAAUACGUUUAAAAAAGAUAGAAAAAUGAAUGUUUUCGUUUAACACUAACACGGGCAAAGCCGUGCGGGAUAAUCGUCCCAACCGUGAAGGAAGCAUAGGGGAUGAUUUGAGUAAUAAAAUGCGAUAUACUUCGCGUUACUUCUACCCAAGAGGCACUGAUUUGUAGCGAAAUAGGAGUAUUACACAGACACUGAACUGUAUGGACAUGUAUACUUUAUUCUGGUGAAGUCAUGGAAAAAGUCAUGGUAAUACAAAUAC
Non-coding RNA from Cinara cedri, 1226 nucleotides. Lineage: Eukaryota; Metazoa; Arthropoda; Insecta; Hemiptera; Aphididae. The record is from the annotation of a GenBank genome assembly.